CCGCAGCCUGUUCGAAUCCCAGAGCGACCUGAUCGUUCUGCGCGACAGCGACGGCCUGAUCACGUCGGUCAAUGACGCCUACUGCGCGCUNNNCGCGCGAAGCCCUGAUCGGGACUCGCUUUGCAUUGCCCGUGCUGGAACAGGGCGCUAUCGCAAUCGAGCCGAGUGGCACACGCGUUCACGACCAGAAGAUCGACAGCNNNCAUGGCGCGAGGGCCUUGUGCGCAGCGAUGCCUAUCAGCCCGCCGACCUGCAAUGCGUCGG
RNAcentral lists this unclassified non-coding RNA (264 nucleotides) under Hevea brasiliensis (rubber tree). The record is from RNAcentral. Lineage: Eukaryota; Viridiplantae; Streptophyta; Magnoliopsida; Malpighiales; Euphorbiaceae.